Molecule: ribosomal RNA, 832 nt
Filed under: Homodus fumeus
Lineage: Eukaryota; Metazoa; Arthropoda; Insecta; Coleoptera; Curculionidae
Description: partial large subunit ribosomal RNA
Rfam family: Eukaryotic large subunit ribosomal RNA
Source: RNAcentral
UCGUGUGACGGAAGACGUUCGCGUUUUCCGCGCCUUCCGCCUGUCGAUCCGAUAGCGAACGCGUGCACUUUUCUCCUGGUAGGACGUCGCGAUCCGUUGGGUGUCGGUCUACGGCUCGCGGUGGAGCCCGGACGUACGGCUUGCCGUCACGUUCGGACCCGCGUGUCCCGGCUGACUCGCUCGACGGUAUACGAAAGGUUUAAGGCCGCUCUUAGAGCGUUCGGCUCGCUGCAAGCGCGUCAGAUGUGUCGGCGAUCGGACCUAGUGCCGGUUCUGACCUCUGGCGACUGUUGGCCGCGAAGUUCUCGAACAGACCUUCAGACCGAUCUGCGACGCUAUAGCUUUGGGUACUUUCAGGACCCGUCUUGAAACACGGACCAAGGAGUCUAGCAUGUGCGCGAGUCAUUGGGAAUCACUAAACCUAAAGGCGCAAUGAAAGUAAAGGUCCGCCUCGCGCGGACUUAGGGAAGACGGGCGGUUUACCCUUAAAAGUGGCCGCCCCGCACUCCCGGGGCGUCUCAUUCUCAUCGCGAGAAGAGGCGCACCAAGAGCGUACACGCUGGGACCCGAAAGAUGGUGAACUAUGCCUGGUCAGGACGAAGUCAGGGGAAACCCUGAUGGAGGUCCGUAGCGAUUCUGACGUGCAAAUCGAUCGUCGGAACUGGGUAUAGGGGCGAAAGACUAAUCGAACCAUCUAGUAGCUGGUUCCCUCCGAAGUUUCCCUCAGGAUAGCUGGCGCUCGUUGCGCACGAGUCUCAUCCGGUAAAGCGAAUGAUUAGAGGCAUUGGGGUCGAAACGACCUCAACCUAUUCUCAAACUUUAAAUGGGUGAG